Molecule: ribosomal RNA, 438 nt
Filed under: Triticum aestivum (bread wheat)
Lineage: Eukaryota; Viridiplantae; Streptophyta; Magnoliopsida; Poales; Poaceae
Description: partial small subunit ribosomal RNA
Source: RNAcentral
AUGAAGAGGAAGAUGGAAGAUAGAAAGAGGAGGCCAUGGAGUAUAACUCGUGUAGGGUGUAAAGCUAAAUUGGUGAUUGCAAGACAGGAGGAAACAAGUCAGUGGUUUGUCAAGGAUUUCAUCGAUGAACACGACCAUCCUCUAGCCCCACGAGAUCUGUCGUGUCUUUUGCGUUCACACAGAAGAAUUAGCGAUGAGCAGAAAGCGGACAUUGCUGACAUGGAAAAAUCUGGGAUCAGAAAACACCAUGUUAUGGAUAUUGUGUGCAUGCAAUACGGUGGAUAUGAUGAGGUUGGAUGCAUUAUGAGGGACAUUUACAAUUUCUACCAUGCUAACAAGCAGGAAACAAUUUCUUUCGGAGAUGCUCAAACGGUGAUCAAUCACAUGGUGGCGAGGCAAGAGCAAGAUUCAGAUUUUUUUCUUCAGGUACUUGGUUGA